AAUGAACGCUGGCGGUGUGCCUAAUACAUGCAAGUCGAGCGAACGCACGAUGAGCCUGCUCCUCUGAGGUUGGCGGCGGACGGGUGGGUAAGACAUGGAUAACCUACCUAUUAUACUGGGAUGACUACGGGAAACCACAUCUAAUACCAGAUAAUAUAUUGAACGGCAUGAUUCAGUAGUUAAUGACACUUUUGCUGUCACUUUGAGAUGAUGUCGCGCCGGAUUAGCUAGUUGGUAAGGUAACGGCUUACCAAGGCGACGAUGCGUAGCUGAUCUGAGAGGGUGAUCAGCCACACUGGAACUGAGACACGGUCCAGACUCCUACGGGAGGCAGCAGUGGGGAAUAUUCCACAAAGGGCGCAAGCCUGAUCGAGCCACACCGCGUGAGUGAUGAAGGCCUUCGGAUCGUAAAGCCCUGUUAUUAGGAAAGAAAAAAUGCGUAAGAAACCCCCGCUGUUCUGACGGUACCUAAUGAGUAAGCACCGGCUAACUUCGUG
RNAcentral lists this ribosomal RNA (497 nucleotides) under uncultured bacterium. RNAcentral describes it as "partial 16S ribosomal RNA". It matches the Rfam family "Bacterial small subunit ribosomal RNA", at positions 29 to 507 of the family's 1533-position model. The record is from RNAcentral.